This 398-nucleotide ribosomal RNA is filed under the name uncultured bacterium. RNAcentral's name for it is "partial 16S ribosomal RNA". It matches the Rfam family "Bacterial small subunit ribosomal RNA", at positions 361 to 774 of the family's 1533-position model. The record is from RNAcentral.
AUAUUGCACAAUGGGGGAAACCCUGAUGCAGCGACGCCGCGUGAGUGAAGAAGUAUUUNGGUAUGNANAGCUCUGUCAUUGGGGANGCAUAAAUUACGGUACCCAAUGAGGAAGCCCCGGCUAACUACGUGCCAGCAGCCGCGGUAAUACGUAGGGGGCGAGCGUUGGCCGGAAUUACUGGGCGUAAAGGGUACGUAGGCGGCUAUAUAAGUCUGGUGUGAAAUACCAGUGCUUAACACUGGAAUUGCAUUUGAAACUGUGUAGCUUGAGUGCAGGAGAGGAAAGUGGACUUCCUAGUGUAGCGGUGAAAUGCGUAGAGAUUAGGAGGAACACCAGUGGCGAAGGCGACUUUCUGGACUGUAACUGACGCUGAGGUACGAAAGCGUGGGUAGCGAACA